RNAcentral lists this ribosomal RNA (274 nucleotides) under uncultured bacterium. Its description in RNAcentral is "partial 16S ribosomal RNA". It matches the Rfam family "Bacterial small subunit ribosomal RNA", at positions 523 to 796 of the family's 1533-position model. The record is from RNAcentral.
AUACGAAGGUCCCAAGCGUUAUUCGGAAUCACUGGGCGUAAAGAGUACGUAGGCGGUUUGGUAAGUCAGGUGUGAAAUCCCGGAGCUCAACUCCGGAACUGCAUCCGAUACUGCCAGACUUGAGUAAUGGAGAGGCAGGUGGAAUUCUCGGUGUAGCAGUGAAAUGCGUGGAUAUCGAGAGGAAGACCAAUGGCGAAGGCAGCCUGCUGGACAUUUACUGACGCUGAGGUACGAAGGCUAGGGGAGCGAAAGGGAUUAGAAACCCGAGUAGUCC